Plectosphaerella plurivora is the source of this 87-nucleotide non-coding RNA. The record is from the annotation of a GenBank genome assembly. NCBI's taxonomy places the organism in Eukaryota, Fungi, Ascomycota, Sordariomycetes, Glomerellales, Plectosphaerellaceae.
GCCCGUGUAGCUCAAUUGGCUAGAGCGUCGGACUUUUAUGCAAUAGAAGGUAUCCGAAGGUCGUGGGUUCGACCCCCACCAUGGGCG